RNAcentral lists this ribosomal RNA (554 nucleotides) under uncultured bacterium. RNAcentral's name for it is "partial 16S ribosomal RNA". It matches the Rfam family "Bacterial small subunit ribosomal RNA", at positions 355 to 900 of the family's 1533-position model. The record is from RNAcentral.
UAGGGAAUCUUCCACAAUGGACGCAAGUCUGAUGGAGCAACGCCGCGUGAGUGAAGAAGGUUUUCGGACCGUAAAGCUCUGUUGUUGGUGAAGAAGGAUAGAGGUAGUAACUGGCCUUUAUUUGACGGUAAUCAACCAGAAAGUCACGGCUAACUACAUGCCAGCAGCCGCGGUAAUACGUAGGUGGCAAGCGUUGUCCGGAUUUAUUGGGCGUAAAGCGAGCGCAGGCGGAAGAAUAAGUCUGAUGUGAAAGCCCUCGGCUUAACCGAGGAAUUGCAUCGGAAACUGUUUUCUUGAGUGCAGAAGAGGAGAGUAGAACUCCAUGUGUAGCGGUGGAAUGCGUAGAUAUAUGGAAGAAUACCAGUGGCGAAGGCGGCUCUCUGGUCUGCAACUGACGCUGAGGCUCGAAAGCAUGGGUAGCGAACAGGAUUAGAUACCCUGGUAGUCCAUGCCGUAAACGAUGAGUGCUAAGUGUUGGGAGGCUUCCGCCUCUCAGUGCUGCAGCUAACGCAUUAAGCACUCCGCCUGGGGGAGUACGACCGCAAGGUUGAAAC